This 67-nucleotide transfer RNA is filed under the name Taeniopygia guttata (zebra finch). Its description in RNAcentral is "tRNA-Cys". Lineage: Eukaryota; Metazoa; Chordata; Aves; Passeriformes; Estrildidae. The record is from RNAcentral.
GGCCCUGUGGUGAAGUUCAUGGUGAGUUGCAAGCUCAUUGAUGUGCAUUAAUUAUGCGCCGGGGUCU